This 253-nucleotide ribosomal RNA is filed under the name uncultured bacterium. RNAcentral's name for it is "partial 16S ribosomal RNA". It matches the Rfam family "Bacterial small subunit ribosomal RNA", at positions 524 to 776 of the family's 1533-position model. The record is from RNAcentral.
UACAGAGGUCCCGAGCGUUGUUCGGAUUCAUUGGGCGUAAAGGGUGCGUAGGCGGCGGGGUAAGUUUGAUGUGAAAUCCCGGGGCUCAACCCUGGAAUUGCAUUGAAUACUACCUUGCUAGAGUACCGGAGAGGAAACUGGAAUUUACGGUGUAGCAGUGAAAUGCGUAGAGAUCGUAAGGAAGACCAGUGGCGAAGGCGGCGAUCUGGGAAGAUACUGACGCUGAGGUGCGAAAGCGUGGGGAGCAAACAGG